AUAAAGGAAUUGAAGAUUUGAAUGAAGAUGAGGAAUCGAGAGUUACAUUUGAAUGAUGAAGAUGAACAUGUUCCCGAUUACUAUUAUCAUGAUUAUCGUUACAAUUAGAUGAUUGAAGAUGAAUAUAGAGAAUAAUGAAAAACAAAAAGACUAAUCAUCUAAAUUGAACAAUUAAAUGAAGGAUGAUUAAGUAAUAUAACUUUCAGAGUGGUAAGAAAAAAGUUACAACAAGUUCAAGGGUUAAUCACGAGUGUUGAUUAACAAUUAACAAUUAUGGAUUAUCAUUGAAAGAAAACACAGAGUUGAAUCGGUGAAUAAUGAUUAAGAUGAUGUUGGUGUUGAUGGUGGUGGUGGUGGUGAUGAAGAUUAUCAUCUUCCAUCAUCAUCUUAAAGUCGGUAAUCAAAUGAUGAAGAUUCUCAAUAGGAUAAUAACAGAGGAUGAGAAAAAUUUACCAAGGAAAAAAAAGUUUAAUAACAAUGAUGAUGACAAUGGAAUUGAUAAUGAUUAACCUGAUCAUUGAUAUUUAACUAAAUUGUUGAUGGUUCUAACCUAUUGUAUUAUAAUAAUGUUCAUUAUCGUCGGUAUCAUGGAAAACUUUUGUUGUGUUUCCGUGAUAAGGUCACAAGAAGAGAAGAAAAAAAAAAGUUCCAAAGUUGAGAAAAAUUCUCGGAAUUCUCAGAAUUCUAAUAGUUUUCAUCUUAUUCUUUCAUAUAAAUGAGUUAUGAUUGACAAAGAUGAUUCCAGUUGAAUGGAGGAAAAAUCAUCAUUAUCAUCAUGAACAUCUAAUGAAAUUUUUUCUUCAUUAUUAUUAUUUUGAAUU
Long non-coding RNA from Panonychus citri (citrus red mite), 821 nucleotides. RefSeq lists it as uncharacterized. The record is from RefSeq and is a predicted model, not a curated record. The transcript has 2 exons. NCBI's taxonomy places the organism in Eukaryota, Metazoa, Arthropoda, Arachnida, Trombidiformes, Tetranychidae.